Molecule: long non-coding RNA, 282 nt
Organism: Branchiostoma floridae (Florida lancelet)
Lineage: Eukaryota; Metazoa; Chordata; Leptocardii; Amphioxiformes; Branchiostomatidae
Exons: 2
Source: RefSeq, a predicted model, not a curated record
GCAUCACACUAGUUACCCCCCUCCCCAAUAUGCGCACACAAUAACAACACAUGACACUUGUCUGGGGGGAGAGCGCCGCCUGGUUCAGGCGCCGCAUAUUUUCGAAAGUACAAAGACAGGGAAGUUUAUUUCACGCACAUUUAAAUACCUAAAGCCAUCAAAACUGCUAGCCUUUCAUGUAGUAGAUCUUUCAAAUUUCCCAUCUACCAUGUCGUUUGAAGAGUAUCAGGAAUUCCAGCAUUCGCAGCUUCCGUCGCCCCUCCUGCUCUGAGGGAACGUAAA